UAUCAGGCGGUCCCUUCCACUAGUGAUUUAUCUUUUCCACUUAAGACCUGAGUCAACCUUGGAAGUUUAAGCAUGCAGAUUAACUCUCAGUUAAGGAGUUCCUUUAAUGCACUUAUUGGAAAUCCACUGCUUCCGUUCUCUCUUCUCAAAUCAAUCAUUCUUCACCACCUAACCUUACUUUGGACUGUUCGUUGGUGGAUUUCAACAACAAUUUUAUGCUAAGAUUUUGUGGGCUUCCUUGGACCAUCUAAACAAGAAUGGGGAGCCAAUCUAUUAAGUUGAAGGCAGUGAUAGACAAGGAGAAAAACAGAGUAAUACUUUCUGAAUUGGAUUCAGAUUUUAUCGAUGUACUUCUCAGUUUUUUGACAAUGCCCAUGGGAACAAUCAUUAAGCUCACACAUAGUCAACUUCCAACCCUUGGUUGCAUGAACAACUUGUAUGCAAGUGUUAAAAAUCUCGAUAUCGGGCGUUUCAGGACUAGUUCAUGCAAGGAAAUGCUUCAACAUCCUCGGAAUGGGGCUGCAAAUCACUGCAGGUACCUGAAAUUGAACAUUGACACCGGGACCACGCCUGUAAGCUACUUUUAUUGCGGGGACCUAGGAUGUUUGACAUCUAAGCACAAGUUUAGUCAUAAAAAAUAUAGCCGUUGUGAUUGUGGAAAGCAAAUGAGUCAAAGAAUACAUUUGCUGUUCCUCUAGAUGGAGGGGUGUUUGUUCGAGGACUCACCCGACCUAUAAUAAGUGAUGAAUUAGAGUUGAUGCCUGCAUCAACUGCAGCUAGCUUCUCUCUGCUAGCCAAGCUUGGAAUCAUGGAUCUAGACACUAUACAAGAAAGGACAUUUGAUGUUGGAUUACAAGAGGUUUUGAAUCUGCUGAAGGGCUCCCUGGAAUCAAAGACACCUUUGACAGAAAUUCUUUUGAAGCAAAAACAAGUGCCUGAAUCAAGGAAGGAAAAUUUAGGUGGAGGGUGCUUCCGUGAACAGAAGAUAGGAGAACAUGUAACUGACGGAAAUACGAAAAUUUGUGUGAGGCUCUUGCUUAGCAAAUCCCAGAAGAUUGUAUGUUUUGCGGAAGCGGGGGAAGAUUUUGUUGAUUUGCUCUUUCAGCUUCCUUGCUUUUCCACUCGGGUUGCGUGCUUAUCAUUCCAAAGGAUGCAUAACUCAUCUAUAUGAUAGCGUAGAGGAACUUGAUACUGAGAAAUACUUCAAGUCAAAUGACCACAAAGAGUCUCUACUUAGUCCCAAGGUGGCAUCUGGUUUUGCCUACAAGAACCAGCUACUUGGUUUGGAGGAAGAGCAGUACUAUUGGUCGAGAGAUGAUCCUUCUUAUAUUUAUAGUCAUAAACCAACUGGCAAGACAUUUACUACUUUAACCAUGAUUGAUCCUAAAGCACCAGCUUACAAGGAAGCUACAAGCAAUGGAGGAUUUGUGUUGAAACCUGCAAUGUUCACAGUAACCGGCGAUCUGAGAGUAACACCCAUAUCCCCUGUCUCAGGUUUGUCUAUUUUGAACAGAUUGAAGGUACCUUUCAGUGAUAUUGAGGAGCACAUUUGCAUAUGGGCAAUGAAGAGUAGAAUGGAGUGCUAGCAUAGGAAGUUUACAAAAGAAUAUGAGCUCUGCAAUUUCUGGCUGUGCGUCUUUUGAUGGCUUCUUUUAUCUCUGAAUCUGCUCUAACUGAUGCCUUUAUCCCCAAAAGGCUAAAACAAGAACAGUGAGGGCUUGGGCCAUAUUUCUUCUCCUUGUGGACUCUGAAGCAAAGAUGUGCUGAUUUAUGAUCCUCGGUAUUUUGAAUGUUGCAUCAUGAAAGAAAAUGUUUUCUUUCUGGUAUCUCUCUCUCUCUCUCACGCCCCCACAGCCACAGCUUGGGCCUGAAAACCUGGGCGUUUGUUCCUGCACUAGUCAUAUGCUCAGUUGAUACGUCUUGCAUGUCAUCGCAGAGAUAAGAGGUUUGUUUCUUUCACUAACUAUAAAAUUAUUGGACAGGAUAUGAAUUAUAUAUAUAUAUACAUGUAGGGGUCAAAAAAUUACAUAAGCAACGACAAGUAAAUGGGCAUCGUGACAAUUAUAUAUGCAUUCAUUAAAGGUGGAAACUAAAAGGCCAAUCUCAAGGGUCGAUAUAACGUUGCCUUGACGGUUUGUAACGGUGAGAUUAGGCCAUUAUUUUCUCUGCAUUGCUUGCCAUCAUUAGUAACUUCUCAAGUGUUUUAACUUUAAUAUCCAGCUAAUUGACUGUGUUUUUAUGUGAUGAAUGACUUGUCCCGCAUCUUGUGUCGUAAGACUGGUACUCAAUUAUUGAGUAAUUAUAAGUAAGAUUUAUCUAUCUAAAGAGAAAUUCUUACUUAAAUCGGAUUCACAUGAAUUCAAAAUAUAAAUAUAUAAAAUUUUAUGUGGAUAUCCGGUUUAGGUAAAUAUUUUUCAUUUAUCAAAAGUGUUGAUUUUAGUCUUGUUCUAUGUGUAUGAUAUAGCUUGUUCCAUUUCUUAAUUAGGUAUGAAGUUUUCACAAAAAAAUAAAGGUUUGAAGUUUCUGCCGUUUUGCAUAUAUUUUUUUUUCCUUUGCCGUUUUGCAUACUAGUCCACAAAAAAAGGAUUCCCUUGAUAUUUCCACUAUCUAGUACAUUUUUGGAGUUUAGCUGAGUUUUUCUUCAAGGGCCAAUUAUGUGAUUAAAUCUUAUGGAACGUACUUCUGAAAUGUACAUGAAUAUCAGGCCAUUUGGUAUUUUCCUCUAGUGCCAUCAUUAAGAAAGCGCAAGUAUGAGUGUAAAAUAUUUUUCAAAAUAUCAAUUGCUUAAUGAAUAAUAAAAUUUGUGAAUUUCAAAUUAAAUCGCAUGAUGUUAUAUUUCCUGUGUUCGAAUUUAGAUACAAUCUCCUCAUUUCAUUCGAAAAAACACCCAAUUUGUAAACUAAAAACAAAUAAUAAAUAAAAGAAGUGCAAAGCAGGCACAUGUACUCCUUUAAUCAAUGAAAAGAGGCCAAGUGGAUCUAUGAACUGAAGACUAAAGAGGCACACAAUCACAACUUCAAUGUGAAUCGUACCGUGCUAUGAUUGAAAAGUUGGUUUUGGUAUGUAAAGUAUAAAAUUUGUUGAAACUAAUUGUUUAUUUUUAUUUAUUUAUUUUAAAAAAUCGAAUUUGAAAUUUUCAUGUUCAACUACACGUGGUUGUUAA
Manihot esculenta (cassava) is the source of this 3163-nucleotide long non-coding RNA. RefSeq lists it as uncharacterized. Lineage: Eukaryota; Viridiplantae; Streptophyta; Magnoliopsida; Malpighiales; Euphorbiaceae. The transcript is spliced from 6 exons. The record is from RefSeq and is a predicted model, not a curated record.